Molecule: long non-coding RNA, 1167 nt
Organism: Corvus hawaiiensis (hawaiian crow)
Lineage: Eukaryota; Metazoa; Chordata; Aves; Passeriformes; Corvidae
Exons: 2
Source: RefSeq, a predicted model, not a curated record
ACUCGGAAAACUCUCAGGAAUGCCGAUUCCAGCUCCUGGCGGGGCAGGGACGCGGCUCCUGCUGCAGGAGGGAAUGGCCAUGGGCGAUCUAAAUCAGCACCCCAGUCACCCGCAGCUGUGCGAGCAAUUAUUUUGAUUUUUAAUUAGUUCAAAGUCAUCAAGUUCCGGCGCAGAAGGACCCCAGAACGGACUCCAGAACUGACCCCGCUCUCCGCUCUGUGCUCCUUACGCCGCGAGAGGAGCUGAAUGGGAUUUUCCAGCUGUAAAUGUAUUGAAUUCAAACCCCUGUGAUGUUUCAGUACAAAAGAGUUGUUAAAAAUGUUACAUGUGGGGGUUUUCUGCUCUGAAGCUGGGAAAAGUGGAAGAAGGAAGUGAACUCCUGGGAUGAGGAAGAAGAAGCGAAGGGUGAAUCCCCUUUUGAGAUCACUGCCCUGGCGGUGAUACCAUCCCAAUAAACAAGAAUUGCCCAACGUGCCGGGAUUCCUCCGCCCCUGGAGUGACAAAUCCAGGGAAGUUUGGGAAGGGCCGCGUGCCCCAAGUGUGGCUCAGACCCCGCAGAAGGGUAUAAAAGUCCUUGGAAAACGGAACCCUUCACUCUCCUGCACUCCUUCUUGGUGCUGACCUGAGGUCACCUCCAGCCCCUGCGAUGUCCUCCCAGCAGCUCUGCGAGGUGUCCUGUCCCCAGCCCCUGGCCAGCGCCUGGAGCCAGCCCUGCGUCACCUCCUGCGGGGACUCGCGGGCCGUGGUCUACCCUCCGCCCGUGGUCAUCACCUUCCCGGGGCCCAUCCUCAGCUCCUGCCCCCAGGAGAGCGUCGUGGGAUCCGCAUUCCCAUCGGGAAUGGGAAGUUCCUUUGGCUCCUGCGAGCCUGGAGCCUCUUUUGGUGGCCAGAAUUCCUCCUCCUGCUAUUCUCGCUAUUCCUACCCUUGCUAUUCCCGGUACUCCCGGUAUUACCGUGGGAGCUGCUGAGCCCUGCGGGGAUUCCCUGGGAAUGCAGACCCAGGGAAACCCAGACCCAGGAAAAUCCAGAUCCACGAGGGAGCAGAGGCUGUGAGAGGAGCAGGAUCCCGGUGGGCAGCAGCAGAUCCUGGGAAUGUGGAUCCUGGAGCAGGCGCUGCUCCCAUGAAAUUCUGGUCCUGUUUCAAUUAAAGAUGAUGUUGCACUGCAAA